Molecule: long non-coding RNA, 517 nt
Organism: Dipodomys ordii (Ord's kangaroo rat)
Lineage: Eukaryota; Metazoa; Chordata; Mammalia; Rodentia; Heteromyidae
Exons: 2
Source: RefSeq, a predicted model, not a curated record
CUGUGGGUGCAGCUCUGGGCUGAGGGCACUUCUCAGCCUCCUCCCAUACUGGAAUGUUUUGACAGAGACCCUGAAGGAGUACCUGAGGGUAGUGAUGAACCUCCAGUAUGAUGAGAAACCACCAUAUGCCGUACUGAGGAACAAUCUCGAAGCCCUGCUGCAGGACCUGCGGGCAUCACCCUACGACCCCCUUGACCUCCACAUAGUGCCUUAGGUGGAAUCCAGAACUUUCAACUAAAGAGUGAAGUAACAUGACUGGAGACCUGCUGUUUGAUCAGAGAAGCUUCUAGCAAAAUCCCACAAAUGUGCAUUCCAGGCAUUUCUUUAGUCCUGUUUAAUACCAGUCCAUCUGAGUGACCCUCCUGGUAAUGUCAGCCUUCCUCCUGCCUCUCCUGUGGUCUCCGGCAGCCAGGGGCUGUGGGCAGUGAGGACAGCAGCCCCCCAGAGGCCCCAUACCUCCCCUUCUCCCCCGUACCACUAGGUUUUAGUAAUAAAUUGUUUUAUUGGAGCUUCCAGA